AAGAAAACAGACGGAGAAGAAGCUGGUGAGGAACCUGAAAAAGCAAAGGGGAAGUCUAGGAAAUCAAUACCAAACAGGAAAAGGACAAGAAGUCAAUUGCUGAAAGAAGAAUUUCCCGAUCUUAUCAAAGAGGUAAAGCAGGAAUUGGAAGAGGCACAUAAGAAGAAGAGCUUGUUGCCUGCUGAGAAAAUUUCAACAAAAAAAGUUGCACCAAAUGCUAAGAAGGGGAAUGGAGUUACUUUGAAAAAGACUGCAGCACUUAAGAGGGGUAGCAAAGUUAAUCAGAUAGUUGUGAGGGAGGUUUAUGAAGACGAGGAAGAUGAAGAAGGAGGUGUAGAAGAAGGUGAAGAAGCACUACUACAAAAAUGGGCAAAGAGACCCUUAAGAAAAAACCCUUUGGUUGAGAUAACGGGUCUCUUUAAUACAAGAGAUCCAAUAUUAAAGAUAACGGAUCUGUAAUGAGUGAAAUAAGGUGGGAAAAAUAAAAUUAGAAAAGCAAGGGACCCGUUACUUAAUUUAACGGGUCUCUUAUUUAUUAGAGGGCCCACAAUUUUUUUGCAGAAUAUAAAAUAGAAGAAGCUAGAGAUCUGUUAUUUAAUUUAACGGGUCUCUAGCUUUUUCUUUUUCAUGGACCCACAAGACUUCGGAGGAAAAAGAAAAGGAAGAGACCUUUUUUUGUUUGCCGGGUCUCUAGCUUUUCCUUCUUCAAAAAUCUCCAACAACUAUGUUUCAUUGAAAGAUAAAUAAAUCAAGGGCUAGAUUUUCCAUCUCUCUUCCAUCGAGCACCUCUCGAUCUGAUCAACUAGGGUGUGAAAAUCGAAUCACCUAGAAGCGAACAUCCAGAGUUCAACGAGCUAAAAUACACUCGCAUAUCUGAACCAGAAGAACCUAUGGCAUCUGAUUAUGCUCAACCUCGAAAAGUUCAUCGCUCUCGCCAUUUUCCAGGUCUGUAACUUUUUAGCUUUAAUUUCUGAUUUUGUGAUAUUUUUGUCGAUUUCAUUUGAAUUUCAUGUUGAUUUUGCUGCAACUGUGUUGCGUUUUUUCUUGUUUGUUAUUGAUUUCACGGAAUUUAGGGGUUUUUUUUAAUUCUAUGGUUAUGUGUUGUGAGAUUAGGGUUUUGAGGGAUCGAUCUUCGGGAGGAUUUGAGCGGAAUUUGGAUUUCAGAUUGGUUUAAAUGUUUCAGGGUAUAAAGUUAAUCGAGGAACUGAUCGGAAUAUGAUUGAAUUUGGUUAUUUUUGUGUGUUUCUUCUACGAAAUGUAGUGUGUGAAUUUAAGAACUAUUGUUGUAAUGUGACUAGUCAUACUUGGUUUUGUUAGUUUCUUUGUUUGAUGUGAAUUGUGAAAUCUACUAAUUCCGUAUUGCUACUAGUUCUACAAAUGUUGGAUUUGUACCCAACUUGAGUCAAAUGGAACUGUCUAAUUUUAUUCUCUAAUGCCACUAGGAAAGGCUUAUGAAAAUUGGUAGAGCUUGAGCCAAAUAGGGGAGGUAAUGAAUAAUGAUGAUUUGGUCAUAGGUUUCAAGUUAAGGGUUAAUGUUUUGAAAAUAGAAAUUAACAAUUUACUUUAUGAUUGUAGUUGUAGUUGGUACGUUCCUUAUUAAAGUUUGGUGUGGUGGGUACUUCUCGUCUUGCAGAAGAGUACAUUUAUUUUUCUGAUUUAGAUUCUGUUAUAAGAUAUCAUGUUGGGUAUGC
Spinacia oleracea (spinach) is the source of this 1691-nucleotide long non-coding RNA. RefSeq lists it as uncharacterized. Lineage: Eukaryota; Viridiplantae; Streptophyta; Magnoliopsida; Caryophyllales; Amaranthaceae. The record is from RefSeq and is a predicted model, not a curated record. The transcript is spliced from 3 exons.